RNAcentral lists this ribosomal RNA (616 nucleotides) under Microbacterium sp. So3Pw_2791. RNAcentral's name for it is "bacterial SSU rRNA". It matches the Rfam family "Bacterial small subunit ribosomal RNA", at positions 395 to 1020 of the family's 1533-position model. Lineage: Bacteria; Bacillati; Actinomycetota; Actinomycetes; Micrococcales; Microbacteriaceae. The record is from RNAcentral.
CGCCGCGUGAGGGACGACGGCCUUCGGGUUGUAAACCUCUUUUAGCAGGGAAGAAGCGAAAGUGACGGUACCUGCAGAAAAAGCGCCGGCUAACUACGUGCCAGCAGCCGCGGUAAUACGUAGGGCGCAAGCGUUAUCCGGAAUUAUUGGGCGUAAAGAGCUCGUAGGCGGUUUGUCGCGUCUGCUGUGAAAUCCGGAGGCUCAACCUCCGGCCUGCAGUGGGUACGGGCAGACUAGAGUGCGGUAGGGGAGAUUGGAAUUCCUGGUGUAGCGGUGGAAUGCGCAGAUAUCAGGAGGAACACCGAUGGCGAAGGCAGAUCUCUGGGCCGUAACUGACGCUGAGGAGCGAAAGGGUGGGGAGCAAACAGGCUUAGAUACCCUGGUAGUCCACCCCGUAAACGUUGGGAACUAGUUGUGGGGUCCAUUCCACGGAUUCCGUGACGCAGCUAACGCAUUAAGUUCCCCGCCUGGGGAGUACGGCCGCAAGGCUAAAACUCAAAGGAAUUGACGGGGACCCGCACAAGCGGCGGAGCAUGCGGAUUAAUUCGAUGCAACGCGAAGAACCUUACCAAGGCUUGACAUAUACGAGAACGGGCCAGAAAUGGUCAACUCUUUG